RNAcentral lists this ribosomal RNA (292 nucleotides) under uncultured bacterium. RNAcentral's name for it is "partial 16S ribosomal RNA". The record is from RNAcentral. RNAcentral also lists the same sequence under 2 other names.
GGACUACUAGGGUAUCUAAUCCCGUUUGCUCCCCUGGCUUUCGCGCAUCAGCGUCAGUAGUGGUCCAGUAUGCCGCCUUCGCCACCGGAGUUCCUAUCGAUAUCAACGCAUUUCACCGCUCCACCGAUAGUUCCGCAUACCCCUACCACACUCGAGACGCCCAGUAUCCGAGGCAGUUCCACAGUUGAGCUGUGGGAUUUCACCCCGGACUUGAGCACCCGCCUACGCGCCCUUUAAGCCCAGUGAUUCCGAACAACGUUCGCUCGGUUCGUCUUACCGCGGCUGCUGGCAC